CUGGAUUGAUGACUGAAGCCACAUGAGGCUCUCGGAAAUAAUGGCUUGGGGAGCUUGGCAGUGGCCCUUGGUCGCAAAACAAAGCAUAUGUGUGAGCCAAAGAAAUCUGAUUUUGUUGGUUCUAUAAUUUAACUUUCUAUCUCAGAGCUUCCACGGCUUCAUCCAAAGGACACUCCUAACAUGCGUCCAUAAAGCCAAGAGAUCAGAGAAAGGAGCAAUUUGAUUUCUUAAGUGCUUCCUUUUCUGAGAAAAUACAAGGUUAUCUCUCCUUAAUGAUUUGCAAUUAAAAUCAUUCAGGUAAUUAUGUUGAAUGAAUAAUGUAUCUCUUCAUCUCA
Molecule: long non-coding RNA, 335 nt
Filed under: Bos taurus (domestic cattle)
Lineage: Eukaryota; Metazoa; Chordata; Mammalia; Artiodactyla; Bovidae
Description: long non-coding RNA NONBTAT007658
Source: RNAcentral